AGAGAAGUGGCAGAGUGGUCGAAUGCACUGGUCUUGAAAACCAGCGUGCCGCAAGGUACCGGGGGUUCGAAUCCCUCCUUCUCUGCAA
This 88-nucleotide transfer RNA is filed under the name Reichenbachiella faecimaris. RNAcentral's name for it is "tRNA_Ser_TGA". It matches the Rfam family "tRNA". Rfam says of the family: Transfer RNA (tRNA) molecules are approximately 80 nucleotides in length. The record is from RNAcentral. Lineage: Bacteria; Pseudomonadati; Bacteroidota; Cytophagia; Cytophagales; Reichenbachiellaceae.